Molecule: ribosomal RNA, 439 nt
Filed under: uncultured bacterium
Lineage: Bacteria
Description: partial 16S ribosomal RNA
Rfam family: Bacterial small subunit ribosomal RNA
Source: RNAcentral
CUACGGGAGGCUGCAGUGAGGAAUAUUGCACAAUGGGGGGAACCCUGAUGCAGCAACGCCGCGUGGAGGAUGACGCAUUUCGGUGUGUAAACUCCUUUUAUAUGUCAAGAAAAUGACGGUAGCAUAUGAAUAAGCACCGGCUAACUCCGUGCCAGCAGCCGCGGUAAUACGGAGGGUGCAAGCGUUACUCGGAAUCACUGGGCGGAAAGGACGCGUAGGCGGGCUUGUAAGUCAGGUGUGAAAUCCUACAGCUUAACUGUAGAACUGCACUUGAAACUACGAGCCUAGAGUAUGGGAGGGGCAGAUGGAAUUAGUGGUGUAGGGGUAAAAUCCGUAGAUAUCACUAGGAAUACCUAAAGCGAAGGCGAUCUACUGGAACAUAACUGACGCUAAGGCGUGAAAGCGUGGGGAGCAAACAGGAUUAGAUACCCCAGUAGUC